Molecule: long non-coding RNA, 623 nt
Filed under: Sarcophilus harrisii (Tasmanian devil)
Lineage: Eukaryota; Metazoa; Chordata; Mammalia; Dasyuromorphia; Dasyuridae
Description: lncRNA (ENSSHAG00000026046.1)
Source: RNAcentral
UUCAGAAUCAAGAGGUCUACCAGCUUCAGUCUCAAUCUUCUUAGUAGCAGAGAUUAUAGGCAUCUGACUCCAGUUCAGGUUUCAUCAGAUUACAAAUGGGAUCCUUGUCACAAAAAAGCUGCUUUAGCUAAAGUCCUUUGGAAUCUCAGGAACAAAAUGCUCAGUUGCCAGUUAGAGGCUCAGAGGUCAUCACAUUCUCAAGGUGCCCCACACAGCAAUUUCAUCUGAGAGACAGAGAGACCCCCCCCCCACACACACACAGAGAGAGAGAGAGAGAGAGAGAGAGAGAGAGAGAUUUUGUCUUUGUUACCAGAAGUGGCUCAAUUUGAAAUAGGAGUACAUCAAAAUUGAUACAGUUCUGUGUUUAUCUCUCAAAAAGAAGAUGUUUUCCAUUUUAUAGGCAAUAUGUUUAUGCUGGCGAUGUGACCCUCAUCACAAGGCUGAUGUUUGUGGAUCUGAACCUUCAGGGACUCCACAGAGGGAUUGCUUUGUCAGUGUUCUCAGCUCAUCCUUUCCAUACAGAUGAAUUUAUAAGAAGCCUGUCACAAGAUCAUUGGGGCCAGCUCAUUUUCUGGGUCUUCCUUCCUGGAAUGAUUUGGGACCUGAGGGUAGUUAGAAAUCAG